RNAcentral lists this ribosomal RNA (514 nucleotides) under Ogataea sp. RNAcentral's name for it is "partial large subunit ribosomal RNA". It matches the Rfam family "Eukaryotic large subunit ribosomal RNA", at positions 121 to 655 of the family's 3401-position model. Lineage: Eukaryota; Fungi; Ascomycota; Pichiomycetes; Pichiales; Pichiaceae. The record is from RNAcentral.
UCUGGUACCUUCGGUGCCCGAGUUGUAAUUUGAAGAAAGCUAUCUUGGAGGUGGCCCUUGUCUAUGUUCCUUGGAACAGGACGUCAUGGAGGGUGAGAAUCCCGUGUGAUGAGGUGUCCAUUUCCGUGUAAGAUGCUUUCGAAGAGUCGAGUUGUUUGGGAAUGCAGCUCAAAGUGGGUGGUAAAUUCCAUCUAAAGCUAAAUAUUGGCGAGAGACCGAUAGCGAACAAGUACUGUGAAGGAAAGAUGAAAAGAACUUUGAAAAGAGAGUGAAAAAGUACGUGAAAUUGUUGAAAGGGAAGGGUAUUUGAUCAGACUUGGUAUUUAGCUAUCAUCGCUCCUUGUGGGUGGUGCUCUAGCUUUUUACUGGGCCAGCAUCAGUUUUGGUGGCAAGAUAAUGACAGUUGAAUGUGGCUCCUCGGAGUGUUAUAGCUUCUGUUGAUGUUGCCUACCGAGACUGAGGUCUGCGGCUUUUGCCUAGGAUGCUGGCGUAAUGAUCCAAUACCGCCCGUCUG